RNAcentral lists this ribosomal RNA (1374 nucleotides) under uncultured bacterium. RNAcentral's name for it is "bacterial SSU rRNA". It matches the Rfam family "Bacterial small subunit ribosomal RNA", at positions 28 to 1381 of the family's 1533-position model. The record is from RNAcentral.
GAUGAACGUUGGCGGCGUGCCUAAUACAUGCAAGUCGAGCGAACAGACGAGGAGCUUGCUCCUUUGACGUUAGCGGCGGACGGGUGAGUAACACGUGGGUAACCUACCUAUAAGACUGGGAUAACUUCGGGAAACCGGAGCUAAUACCGGAUAAUAUUUCGAACCGCAUGGUUCGAUAGUGAAAGAUGGCUCUGCUAUCACUAAUAGAUGGACCUGCGCCGUAUUAGCUAGUUGGUAAGGUAACGGCUUACCAAGGCAACGAUACGUAGCCGACCUGAGAGGGUGAUCGGCCACACUGGAACUGAGACACGGUCCAGACUCCUACGGGAGGCAGCAGUAGGGAAUCUUCCGCAAUGGGCGAAAGCCUGACGGAGCAACGCCGCGUGAGUGAUGAAGGUCUUCGGAUCGUAAAACUCUGUUAUUAGGGAAGAACAAACGUGUAAGUAACUGUGCACGUCUUGACGGUACCUAAUCAGAAAGCCACGGCUAACUACGUGCCAGCAGCCGCGGUAAUACGUAGGUGGCAAGCGUUAUCCGGAAUUAUUGGGCGUAAAGCGCGCGUAGGCGGUUUUUUAAGUCUGAUGUGAAAGCCCCACGGCUCAACCGUGGAGGGUCAUUGGAAACUGGAAAAACUUGAGUGCAGAAGAGGAAAGUGGAAUUCCAUGUGUAGCGGUGAAAUGCGCAGAGAUAUGGAGGAACCCCAGUGGCGAAGGCGACUUUCUGGUCCGUAACUGACGCUGAUGUGCGAAGGCGUGGGGAUCAAACAGGAUUAGAUACCCUGGUAGUCCACGCCGUAAACGAUGAGUGCUAAGUGUUAGGGGGUUUCCGCCCCUUAGUGCUGCAGCUAACGCAUUAAGCACUCCGCCUGGGGAGUACGACCGCAAGGUUGAAACUCAAAGGAAUUGACGGGGACCCGCACAAGCGGUGGAGCAUGUGGUUUAAUUCGAAGCAACGCGAAGAACCUUACCAAAUCUUGACAUCCUUUGACCCUUCUAGAGAUAGAAGUUUCCCCUUCGGGGGACAAAGUGACAGGUGGUGCAUGGUUGUCGUCAGCUCGUGUCGUGAGAUGUUGGGUUAAGUCCCGCAACGAGCGCAACCCUUAAGCUUAGUUGCCAUCAUUAAGUUGGGCACUCUAAGUUGACUGCCGGUGACAAACCGGAGGAAGGUGGGGAUGACGUCAAAUCAUCAUGCCCCUUAUGAUUUGGGCUACACACGUGCUACAAUGGACAAUACAAAGGGCAGCGAAACCGCGAGGUCAAGCAAAUCCCAUAAAGUUGUUCUCAGUUCGGAUUGUAGUCUGCAACUCGACUACAUGAAGCUGGAAUCGCUAGUAAUCGUAGAUCAGCAUGCUACGGUGAAUACGUUCCCGGGUCU